UUUACCUCAAAAGAACGCUUUUCCUGGAUGCGGCUCAGCAUUGGACGCUCCCAUCCAAAAAGUUUUGUGAUCUUAAUGCUUUUAAGGAGCUCUGUGGUCAAACGAAUUCUUUCAUCGCUGGAUGUAUUUGCAAUCGAAGUUAAGCGAGAUAUUUUUGAUGCAACUAAUAACGGAAAACUUGAACUGAGAAUGGCAAGUAGAAGGCCAACAUAAGCACUCC
Schizosaccharomyces pombe (fission yeast) is the source of this 220-nucleotide non-coding RNA. The record is from the annotation of a GenBank genome assembly. Lineage: Eukaryota; Fungi; Ascomycota; Schizosaccharomycetes; Schizosaccharomycetales; Schizosaccharomycetaceae.